UCUCCGUUGGUGAACCAGCGGAGGGAUCAUUACAGAGUUCCACAACUCCCAACCCCUGCGAACCGUACCCCAGUUUGUUCUCGUUGCCUCCUGGCGGCGCGCCCCCGGCGCCACCGCCGGGACCCCCGCCAGCGGCGGCGUGCCCCCUGAACGUUUUUUUCUCAACCAGCGCGUCUGAGCUAACAAACAAAUGAAUCAAAACUUUCAACAACGGAUCUCUUGGCUCUGGCAACGAUGACGCACGCAGACUGAUCGGACGAGCAAACGUCUGAACUCCAG
Molecule: unclassified non-coding RNA, 279 nt
Filed under: plant metagenome
Description: partial contains small subunit ribosomal RNA, internal transcribed spacer 1, and 5.8S ribosomal RNA
Source: RNAcentral